GGCAGCUUUUGGAUGCUGAGAUGAAUUUAUUUGCAGUUUACCACGUUUUCAUUUCACUCCCUUUGCCCUUUCCCCCUUUCAAGGUUGCUGGUGGGAUCCGAGUGGUCGCAGUUCUCCACGUGGAUGUGAGAUGUGAUCCCAGGGAAGACUCUUUGCAUGGGUAACAUUUUGCCAAGGAUCUGCCCCUUAGUGAUCCUGCCGCUGUAUCUGAUGGGAUGGAUGCAGACCAGCUUGACACAGAAGUCUGGAGACGAGAGGAGAGAUAGCAUCAGGCACCUGGUGGGGCAUUUGUUCUACUGGACUAACUGCCUCACAAAUGCUUCUGGUUUCUGUCUUGUCCUUUCCACUGCAGUACCAACAGUGGAAAUGCCAAAGUAGCCAAGCCCCUGUGGGCAUCAGCAAUAGGGAGAGUGGAGCUGCUGACAUGGGGGAGGGCGGAAUGGGAGGAAGAGAAGGGAUUUCCAUCCUGCUUCAGUCAAGAGAAGAAUGUGAAGAGGUACUACAGAAGUCAGCUCUUGGCAGUGCUUGAGAGUGCAUCCCUUGGCCAGCGGCCAGGUGACCUCAGGACAAAGCAGGGUGAAGCAGAAGGCAGCUGCUCACCUUGUCCCCUGAUCUGCACCCCAUCGUCGAUGGCGUUGCCGUUGUGGAAGAACUUGACUGGCCCGGAGAGCUCCCCGGAGAAGGGCGCGUAGACGGUGGCGCCGUCAGCGCAGAUCACAUCCACGCCCGUGUGCUUGUGCCUCGCUUUCCCAGCUUGUCUGAAACAAACAGGCCUUUAGAGAAGUCUCCUGUCGGGCCUGACCUGGUUCGCAGCGCAGAGAAGGCUUCCCGCAGCAGGGGAGCUGGCACCUCAUGCACGCCUCCAGCUGUCACUACUUGCCUUCUCCCCUGAUCUGGACCCCGUCGUCGAUGGCGUUGCCGUUGUGGAAGAAGCGGAUGGGGCCGGAGAGCUCUCCGCCGAAGGGCGCGUACACGGCGGCGCCGUCCGCGCAGAUCACGUCCACGCCCACGUGCUUCUCCUUGCCCCUGCAACCACCAGCACAGGCAGUCAGAGCAGCCUCAGCGCCGGCGGCAGGUGAGCUGCAAGGUGCAGGGGGAAGCUCAAGAGGAAGCUCUGAACCCAAGCUGGUGGCAUUGCCACGUUGGGCAAUGGAGCUGCUCGCACGACGGUUGGCAGGGGCAGUUGUGAAAGACACAAAGUGGCUGCUUGGCACACACCAACAGAAGAGUUUGGGACAACUGGCAGGAGUUGCACAGCCCCUGGGAGCCCCACUUGCACCAUUUCCUGACCUGUGGUGAGGAGAGGGCAAGGAGCUGGCAAGGAACCAGCAUGGAGUCCUGUGAGGAGCACAGCGAGAGCAGGCUCAGGGCUGUGUGAAAGCUCACCGAAGGACAUCUGUGCACCAGGUGAGCAGGCUGGACCCUCAGGAGGGCCAAAGCAGCAGAGGGACCAUGCUGGCCAGCACCAUGGGUGAAGAGCUCCAGGAAACAUGUGAGGAAGGCUGCUGGGUGAUGGAGAAGAGCUCUUCUGCAUGUGGCCAAGCUGGGGACAGUGCACAGGACUGCUGUUGGCAAUGGAGAGUGAAGAACAUGAGCACAUCCAGGGGCCCUUUGAUUCAUUUGAGAUGUCUCAGCUGCUCUGUGACACCUCAAGUACCACUUCCAGCAGCAUCAGCUCCCCCUCCCCAUCUGAACGUGGGCUCCAGGUUUGGUAAGGACACUGCACCACGGAGAGAGGCUG
Molecule: long non-coding RNA, 1741 nt
Organism: Pogoniulus pusillus (Red-fronted tinkerbird)
Lineage: Eukaryota; Metazoa; Chordata; Aves; Piciformes; Lybiidae
Exons: 5
Source: RefSeq, a predicted model, not a curated record